This 555-nucleotide ribosomal RNA is filed under the name uncultured Comamonas sp. RNAcentral's name for it is "bacterial SSU rRNA". It matches the Rfam family "Bacterial small subunit ribosomal RNA", at positions 354 to 873 of the family's 1533-position model. The record is from RNAcentral. Lineage: Bacteria; Pseudomonadati; Pseudomonadota; Betaproteobacteria; Burkholderiales; Comamonadaceae.
UUGGGGAAUUUUGGACAUUGGGCGAAAGCCUGAUCCAGCCAUGCCGCGUGCGGGAUGAAGGCCUUCGGGUUGUAAACCGCUUUUGUUCGGAAAGAAAAGCAUCCGGCUAAUACCCGGGUGUCCUGACGGUACCCAAAGAAUAAGCACCGGCUAACUUCGUGCCAGCAGCCGCGGUAAUACGUACGGGGCAAGCGUUAAUCCGAAUUACUGGGCGUAAAGCGUGCGCAGGCGGUUUUUUAAGACAGAGGUGAAAUCCCCGGGCUCAACCUGGGAACUGCCUUUGUAACUGCAAGACUAGAGUGCGGCAGAGGGGAAUGGAAUUCCUCGUGUAGCAGUGAAAUGCGUAGAUAUGCGGAGGAACACCCAUGGCGAAGGCACUCCCCUGGGCCUGCACUGACACUCAUGCACGAAAGCGUGGGGAGCAAACAGGAUUAGAUACCCUGGUAGUCCACGCCCUAAACGAUGUCAACUGGUUGUUGGGGGUUAAUUGGCUCACAAACANAAAAUAAAACGUGNNAUUUACCNCNCNGGGNGNACACCCUCNNAAUUAAAAAA